Molecule: ribosomal RNA, 253 nt
Filed under: uncultured bacterium
Lineage: Bacteria
Description: partial 16S ribosomal RNA
Rfam family: Bacterial small subunit ribosomal RNA
Source: RNAcentral
UACGAAGGGGGCUAGCGUUGUUCGGAUUUACUGGGCGUAAAGCGCGCGUAGGCGGGUCACUAAGUCAGGGGUGAAAUCCCGAGGCUUAACCUCGGAACUGCCUUUGAUACUGGUGACCUGGAGAUCGGGAGAGGUUGGUGGAAUUCCGAGUGUAGAGGUGAAAUUCGUAGAUAUUCGGAGGAACACCAGAAGCGAAGGCGGCCAACUGGCCCGAUACUGACGCUGAGACGCGAAAGCGUGGGGAGCAAACAGG